Non-coding RNA from Phoenix dactylifera (date palm), 1485 nucleotides. The record is from RefSeq and is a predicted model, not a curated record. NCBI's taxonomy places the organism in Eukaryota, Viridiplantae, Streptophyta, Magnoliopsida, Arecales, Arecaceae.
UUCCCCUCAUCCUCCUCCUCUUCUUCUUCUUCUUCUUCUUUCUCUCCUUCCCUCUUUCUUCUCCCAUAAGGGGAGAUCGGAAUCGAGAGGGCUGAACAACAGCAGGCGACGCCCCCUCGGCCGGCUAGAGGCACCCGCGGUUGCGGCCAUGGCCGCAUUCACGGUCCGCAGCUGCGGCCUUGGCCGAACUCGCGGCCCGUGGUCGGUGUUCCCCGGCCUCCGGCGCCUGCAGCCCGCAGCCGGCGUUCCCCGGCCUCCGGCACCACAGUCGUAGGCCGCGCCUGCGGCUGGCACCCACGAAGGGAGAAGGGGAACGACUCCAACCCGACUGUAGCCCCCGCCGACGUUUGGCGGUGGUCGCGCCGAAGUCAGACGGUACCUGUGGCCGAGAGCCGGCAAUGCUGACGAUCACAGAUACGCCUUUUUCUCCUCCUCUUCUUUUCUUUUAUUUCAUUAUCAUAGGGUAGAAAUGACAUAGGGUUAAGGUUUACCUUGCUACGAAGAGAAGCUGCGGCUACUCUCUCCGGCGGCAUUGAUGCGAGCUCCAAACCCUAGCAGCGGAGGAGGGAAAGGGGUUAGAGGCAGAGUAGGGUGGAGAAGGAGAAGUGUUUGGUGGAUCUCAGAUGCAGGUCAAUGAGGGAUUUUACAGAGAAAUUUCAAACGGCUCUGCUCGUUCACCGCCGCGAUUUCAGCGGCAGUUGCGCGGGUUCAUCAGCCAUUCAAAUGGCCGCCGCGGAUCCCGCCCCCGUUAUGCUUGAGAAGAUGCAGCCGAGGAUUCCGGCCCCUCCUUCGGCUUGGGCCUCACAGGGACCUGCUUCUUCUUCGGCCCCUCCCCAUCCGUUAUGGAGACAUCGUGGCCGGCGGCGGCCGCAGGAAGGGGAAGACCGACCCUUCUUCCUCUUCUUCGGCACCUCUCCACUGUGGAGGUGUGGGCAUGGGGUGCGGCGGCGGAGAAGAGGGAGGGGUGGCGGCAGCGAGGAAGAAGGAAGGGGGGAGAGGAACAGGCGGUGUGAUGAGCAUUUUGGGAGGAAUUAUUUUUUUAAGUGGGGGUAUUUUGGUCAAAAAUAGAGCAUUCCGGCAAAACUCAAAACAACGUUUUCCGAAAGCUCUAAAAUAGACUUUCAGCCAAAAAACUAUUUUCAGCUUUUCGAAAAAGCUGAAACAGCUUUCCAAAAAUUUUAUCAAAUACAAUUUUUUUACUUAAAAGUACUUUGGAAGGGUCAGAAAGUGCUUUUUGUCCCUCUAAAAGCUCUCCCAUACGAGGCCUUAGCUGCUUUGGAGAAGAGAGAAAAGUUGAAAUAGAAGAGACAAAAUGGAGGGGAGGAAACUAAUAGACUAGUCCCCCAUUAAGUAGAUUUCUAAACGAGCAAAAAAAUAAAAUGAAGGGGUGGGGAAGAAAUUUUUUUCCAAAUAGAAUGCUAUGGUGCUUUCGCAAAGCUCGUUAUCCGUUCAGAUUAAAACAGAUUGCAUGACAUGGGUGUGGUC